AACGAACGCUGGCGGCGUGGAUAAGACAUGCAAGUCGGACGAUCAUUACAGGGUAGCAAUAUUCUGUAGUGAGAGUGGCGUAAGGGUGCGUAACACGUGGGUAAUCUGCCGUGAAGUCCGGAAUAACUCGCUGAAAGGCGAGCUAAUACCGGAUGUGAUUUCUGGAGGGCAUCCUCCGGAACUUAAAGCUGGGGACCGUAAGGCCUGGCGCUUCAUGAUGAACCCGCGACCUAUCAGCUAGUUGGUGAGGUAACGGCUCACCAAGGCUAAGACGGGUAGCUGGUCUGAGAGGACGACCAGCCACACUGGAACUGAGACACGGUCCAGACACCUACGGGAGGCAG
RNAcentral lists this ribosomal RNA (344 nucleotides) under uncultured Verrucomicrobiota bacterium. Its description in RNAcentral is "bacterial SSU rRNA". It matches the Rfam family "Bacterial small subunit ribosomal RNA", at positions 29 to 351 of the family's 1533-position model. The record is from RNAcentral. Lineage: Bacteria; Pseudomonadati; Verrucomicrobiota.